This is a long non-coding RNA of Drosophila miranda, 3701 nucleotides long. RefSeq lists it as uncharacterized. The transcript is spliced from 6 exons. NCBI's taxonomy places the organism in Eukaryota, Metazoa, Arthropoda, Insecta, Diptera, Drosophilidae. The record is from RefSeq and is a predicted model, not a curated record.
GUAUGCUCUCGAGCUCGGUAAUGCGCACAUCAUGGACGAGAGUGGGCGCGCAAGGCACAGGCACAGGCAUAGGCACAGGCACGGGCACAGGCACAGGCGAGCGACCCUCGCCACGACCCAGUCGGCGGGCGGGCGCACGGAACAGGUUGCCUUGCGGCAGGGUGGGAUGGAUGUGGUGUCGUCGUCAUCGUCUUCAUCGCCUUCAUCGUCUUCGAUUGUGGACUGACAACAGAGGAAGUGAUAGAUAUCGUAGCAUGUGAAUCCCAAAGUGCGUGCCCCUGAUUGGGCCAAGGCCCAAGGCCCUCAGGUCUCUGCCAUUAGCUACUCGACAUGUUUACUUACCAGAGACAGACUGCUUCAAGCAUUCACCUUUGGCCAAGCCGCUGCCAAAGUGCCAAACGUCUCUGUAUAACGGCGGCGCUGUAUAACGCUUCGACCUCCCUCGUGUAUGUGGAAGCAUUACAAGUGACCCGUCAGCGUGGACUUUGCUACCCGGCACCCCGGCCCCCGCCCCCUUCACUUCUGACCCGAAGAAGACAGUUCAUUUUCAGGAUGCAUUAAGGACACGGACUGCUUGCAUUUCCUACAGGGCAUCAAAGAGGACAUCGUCGACAGCCCGCAAGGGAUACAGUUGUUAACGUAUACAAGGGGGAGGCGUCGACUAUGGCGAGGACGAAAACACAAACAUGGCAACCGAGCACCGAGCACCGGGAAGGGUCCGCCUCUGCCUGCUCUCGGCUGCAGUUGAAGGAAUGGAAUGGAAACGAAAGGAAAGGAGCACUUUAUGUGCAUAUAAUAUCUGAAUGUUCGCCGCACCAUCCUCAGCCACACACACACACACGACCACACGUACACACACGUACGAUCCACCCAGCCAGACAGACACAUGUAUACGUAGGACACAGUGUCAUCCAAGUUGCGGGGAAUUGUUAAUAUUGUCUGUGCGCCUGUAAGCAGCAUUUACAUGCUGGCCGACACCACGUACCACGUCCUGGCUGAUAGAAGAGCUCAUGUGUGGCUGGUGCCCUCUCUGACGGAACGGAAGGGCUCUGCUAGCCGCUCGGCUUUAAAUGCUGUAUCAACUUAUGAAGCUGGCCGCCGCUUUCAUUAGAUCCAGAGGAUGAACCUAGUUCAGAACUUGUCUGGAUUGAAAACUGACACGCCAUCAAUAAAAUAAUGUUCUCGGAUCGAUAUGAGCAUUUGGAACAGAAGAUGGAUGGAUGGAUGGAUGGAUCGAAAAUUAACUAUAUGGGAAAAAUAAUAUUUUAAGACACAUUAUUGAAUAUUUAUAAUAGCUCUAGUAUCAAUGGUGUAUACGAGUAUACAUUAGACAUGAAAAGAGUAAACACCAUAUUUUCUUGUAGGUUGAUGCUUCAUGAAUCAACAGUAUUCAUAAAAACACAGCUACACUCAUACAUCUUUAAAGCUUUCGAUCAUUACGAAUCCUUUCUUCAGUCAGAUCCGGAUCACCCCGAACCGAGUGCGAGCACUACGGAUACUCAUGCAACACACUCAUUAUGAAGUAAACUUUUCGGAUCUGACACAGUAAAAAUGACGAUACCUGCUUCGGGCAGUCCGUUUUGGGUGUGCGAUUCGAUGUAAUGAGAAAGUUGAGUCGCUGAUUCGAACUGACCGAACGAAGCGAGUACCGAUUCAAUCCCACCGACUCGACUCGGUUGCCUUUUCAUGCGGGGUGUUAUGUACAUGUGACGGCUCUGCACUCUACAGCAGGAGACCUCAACAUUUUGAGGGUUCUUUGGUUCUACCACAUCAACUGGCCGGUCCAAAGAUCCAAAGAUAUAUGUAUGUAUGUAUGUAUGCCAGGUCAAAGUGCAACAAGGCCUUACAAUAAUAAUAAUAAUAAUACAAAUGUACAUAUGUAGUAUAGUAUGUAGUGUACUCUUAAGUGGAAUCUCGAAGAUUCUGGUGCAGUUUAAAAAUUGUAACUUAUUAAAGUUUAUAAUAUCUCUGUUGUUGUGGGGCGCUGGGCUAUUAUUUGCGCUGACAAUUCUCAGACAGUCCAGCUUACAACCUAUCCAUGCACCAUACGCUGUUGACAAGAAACGUUUUUGUCAGAGAUCUAUAGGUAUCACCAGAUAUCUGUUUUUCAAUCUCCCGAUACUAUCAUUUUCAUUCCACGAGCUUCCUCGAGUAUCGCAAUUCCUUCUAUCCUUCAUUAUACGUCAAUAACAAAAAAAAAAAAACGGAACACUUAUAGUAAUGCAUGCCACAGUAAUCAAAACUAGAAUCAGCAGAAGACCUAACUCGUUAGAUUAAGUUCAUCUUGUUGAUAAGUAAUUAUGCAGUAAUACUUGUGAUUAUCAAAUCAAUGAAGAGAUUCAAAUGGAGAAGUAAUAUUUGGACGUUGAUAUGCAAUGACUGCACCACCAAGUGGGCCAUGAGACACCAAGCCACCAACGCGCGGAUCACAGGCAGAGACGCAGCCCUGCUCCUGCCCAGCCGACCGAGGGCCAGGAAAGAUAGAUGUUAGGCUAAUAUUCGAGUAAUAUUAGACUUAACCUGACUAAAGGAGAUAAGCAUGCAUUCAAAAUAGAAAACUAAUACUGAUUACUUGAAAGGAAUGCCAGUAUCAGUAAUUUAAGAAGAAGAAGGGAAUUAAUAGUACAUUUAAUAUACCAAGCGAAAGGGACAACGUUGUAUACAUAGUUUCUAGUGGAUAUUAUAGGAAUCGUGAAGUUUAUGCGGAUCAAUAAGACUGGGAGAUCUUCAUGGCGCAUAAGAAUCAUACCAAUAUUUUUCUACGAUUAAGUAAGGAUGGCAGGUUUAUUGAGAGCAAUCAAUUCGGAUAAGAUGGCAAUCCCUCACUUGCAUCCCAGUUUAGGCCGCGCAGGUCAAAGAGUUUUUUUUGUUGGUUUUGACCGCUCUUACAUGUAUUGGAUGAUUUUUAUAGUUACUAAGAAUUAUUCUAAACGAAUACCGAAUUCGCCCAAUCAAUGACAUAACAAAUUUCCUGUAAUAACAAUGCGAGUAUGAUGACGAUCACAUUUGGCCAAGAUAAUGUCUAAUAGCAUAUUUUAUAACAAUCAAUUAGAAGCAUUUUGUUCUUUCGAUUAUGCUUAGAAAACAUAAAUGUUAUCUCAAAAAGACUUGUCAAAGAAUCGAUCGAUCCGAUAAUUCUCAAUUCCCAAAUAAGAGAUAAAAGGCAUUUUUCAAUGUUCGAUUGAGACUUUACAUUAUAGAGAGAGAUCGCCAUGGCUAGUUGCACUUAGUUUGACUUUCUGAUCAUUAAUAUACGAGUAUACGAAAAUACGAUACACACAUUACGGAGUCUCUCUUUGAACUUCACGAACACACAGAUGUAUGACCAAGAAAAUUAUGGGACUAUAGAAGGUUGCUUUUCGACUUAAAUAUGUAGAUAUAGAUUCUAAAAAUUGAUCAAAUCAAACGGUUGUAAUUUCAACACUGUUAUAAACUUUUUCUGUUGGUGUUGCAUUGGUUUUUUUUGUUUUGUAAAUUGAUCUUGUUGGCAGUGUUGGGUAACGUCUGGGGUCCGCCAAAAAGUAUGCAACGUUGUCGGACGUUUUCGAUCAUUGAAGUUCCAUUAAUGGCCGCUGAGUGCGGUGCGCCACUGGCACAUGUAAUUUUUACGCGAUACGUUACAUGGUCUUUUUGUUGCAUUCGGGGUUGCACUGUUGUAAUUGAUUGCUGUAAUAAUCUAUUAUUAUUGUUAUUCUGCUUAA